CCUACGGGGGGCAGCAGUGAGGAAUAUUGGUCAAUGGACGAGAGUCUGAACCAGCCAAGUAGCGUGAAGGAUGACUGCCCUAUGGGUUGUAAACUUCUUUUAUAAAGGAAUAAAACGAGGCACGUGUGCCUUUUUGCAUGUACUUUAUGAAUAAGGAUCGGCUAACUCCGUGCCAGCAGCCGCGGUAAUACGAAGGAUCCGAGCGUUAUCCGGAUUUAUUGGGUUUAAAGGGAGCGUAGAUGGGUUGUUAAGUCAGUUGUGAAAGUUUGCGGCUCAACCGUAAAAUUGCAAUUGAUACUGGCAGUCUUGAGUACAGUUGAGGUAGGCGGAAUUCGUGGUGUAGCGGUGAAAUGCUUAGAUAUCACGAAGAACCCCGAUUGCGAAGGCAGCUUACUAAACUGUGACUGACAUUGAUGCUCGAAAGUGUGGGUAUCGAACAGGAUUAGAUACCCUGGUAGUC
RNAcentral lists this ribosomal RNA (460 nucleotides) under uncultured bacterium. RNAcentral describes it as "partial 16S ribosomal RNA". It matches the Rfam family "Bacterial small subunit ribosomal RNA", at positions 338 to 795 of the family's 1533-position model. The record is from RNAcentral.